AAACAAUGAAACAGAAGAAACCCAAAUGAAUCGAAAUAUGUAUUGAGUUGGUGGAAUAUUCUUGUAGAGAAAAACUAAUUCUGGUUUCUCUCCUCUAUUUCUUUUAGCUUUUUUCUCUUUUUGCUCUCAGAAUUGCUAACCCUAAGCCUGUGAAGCUGAAGACUACACUUCCCAUUAUGGGUUACUGAUGAAAGGUUAAAGAAAUUGAAAUGUAAAAGAUAAGAUUUGUUUCAAGUUCUGUAAAGUUUUUAAGUUCUAUUAAGUUGUAUUUGGAACCUGAAAUUCAUGUGGAAGUUUAAAACAACUCCCGGAAAAAGCCACUGAAAUGUAUGUUGAAAUCUCCCCUGACCAUCUGGUUGCUCUGUAAAAACAGCCCCCUCCCCAUCCAGAAACUGUGCAGUCCUGCACAUACACACCUCAGGACUUAAGCCAAUCAGUUCAUAUGUAUACCCUUCUUUGUGCUGACCAAUCACCCCUACCCGACCUGUUCCUGCCAGUGAAUGUACUAAUCAUGGUUAAGAGUUGUUGAUUAAUUUUUCCGUGGUGUGUGAUGAUUUGUUAUGCUGUAUGUGAAGCCCCUGCCCCUUUCCAAAAAAUGUAUAUAAGCCCUGCUCAAGCUGUACUCGGGGCUCUUUGAUCUCCGCUCCUCCGAAGUGAGCUCUGAGCCCCAGCAUGCUGGACCC
Molecule: long non-coding RNA, 683 nt
Filed under: Marmota monax (woodchuck)
Lineage: Eukaryota; Metazoa; Chordata; Mammalia; Rodentia; Sciuridae
Source: RNAcentral